This 492-nucleotide ribosomal RNA is filed under the name uncultured bacterium. RNAcentral describes it as "partial 16S ribosomal RNA". It matches the Rfam family "Bacterial small subunit ribosomal RNA", at positions 29 to 507 of the family's 1533-position model. The record is from RNAcentral.
AGUGAACGCUGGCGGCAUGCCUAACACAUGCAAGUCGAACGGCAGCACAGUAAGAGCUUGCUCUUACGGGUGGCGAGUGGCGGACGGGUGAGGAAUACAUCGGAAUCUACUUUGUCGUGGGGGAUAACGUAGGGAAACUUACGCUAAUACCGCAUACGACCUACGGGUGAAAGCAGGGGAUCUUCGGACCUUUCGCGAUUGUAUGAGCCGAUGUCGGAUUAGCUAGUUGGCGGGGUAAAGGCCCACCAAGGCGACGAUCCGUAGCUGGUCUGAGAGGAUGAUCAGCCACACUGGAACUGAGACACGGUCCAGACUCCUACGGGAGGCAGCAGUGGGGAAUCUUGGGCAAUGGGCGAAAGCCUGAUCCAGCAAUACCGCGUGGGUGAAGAAGGCCUUCGGGUUGUAAAGCCCUGUUGUUGGGAAAGAAAAGCAGCAGGUUAAUACCCCGCUGUUCUGACGGUACCCAAAGAAUAAGCACCGGCUAACUUCGUG